GACGAACGCUGGCGGCGCGCCUAACACAUGCAAGUCGAACGAGCGAGAGAGAGCUUGCUUUCUUGAGCGAGUGGCGAACGGGUGAGUAACGCGUGAGGAACCUGCCUCAAAGAGGGGGACAACAGUUGGAAACGACUGCUAAUACCGCAUAAGCCCACGGUGCCGCCUGGCACAGAGGGAAAAGGAGCAAUCCGCUUUGAGAUGGCCUCGCGUCCGAUUAGCUAGUUGGUGAGGUAACGGCCCACCAAGGCGACGAUCGGUAGCCGGACUGAGAGGUUGAACGGCCACAUUGGGACUGAGACACGGCCCAGACUCCUACGGGAGGCAGCAGUGGGGAAUAUUGCACAAUGGGGGAAACCCUGAUGCAGCGACGCCGCGUGGAGGAAGAAGGUCUUCGGAUUGUAAACUCCUGUUGUUGGGGAAGAUAAUGACGGUACCCAACAAGGAAGUGACGGCUAACUACGUG
RNAcentral lists this ribosomal RNA (466 nucleotides) under uncultured bacterium. Its description in RNAcentral is "partial 16S ribosomal RNA". It matches the Rfam family "Bacterial small subunit ribosomal RNA", at positions 28 to 507 of the family's 1533-position model. The record is from RNAcentral.